RNAcentral lists this ribosomal RNA (493 nucleotides) under uncultured bacterium. RNAcentral describes it as "partial 16S ribosomal RNA". It matches the Rfam family "Bacterial small subunit ribosomal RNA", at positions 30 to 507 of the family's 1533-position model. The record is from RNAcentral.
AUUGGACGCUGGCGGCAUGCUUUACACAUGCAAGUCGAACGGCAACGAGGAGAAGCUUGCUUCUCUGUCGGCGAGUGGCGAACGGGUGAGUAUAGCAUCGGAACGUGCCAAGUAGUGGGGGAUAACCAAACGAAAGUUUGGCUAAUACCGCGUAAGCUCCAAGGAGGAAAGUAGGGGACCUAAAUAAGGCCUUACGCUAUUUGAUCGGCCGAUGUCGGAUUAGCUAGUUGGUGGGGUAAUGGCUCACCAAGGCAAUGAUCCGUAGCGGGUCUGAGAGGACGAUCCGCCACACUGGGACUGAGACACGGCCCAGACUCCUACGGGAGGCAGCAGUGGGGAAUUUUGGACAAUGGGGGAAACCCUGAUCCAGCCAUGCCGCGUGUAUGAAGAAGGCCUUAGGGUUGUAAAGUACUUUUGUUAGGGAAGAAAAGCUAGUUUUUAAUAAAAAUUAGUGAUGACGGUACCUAAAGAAUAAGCACCGGCUAACUACGUG